RNAcentral lists this ribosomal RNA (496 nucleotides) under uncultured bacterium. Its description in RNAcentral is "partial 16S ribosomal RNA". It matches the Rfam family "Bacterial small subunit ribosomal RNA", at positions 28 to 506 of the family's 1533-position model. The record is from RNAcentral.
GAUGAACGCUGGCGGCGUGCCUAAUACAUGCAAGUCGAGCGAACAGACGAGGAGCUUGCUCCUCUGAUGUUAGCGGCGGACGGGUGAGUAACACGUGGAUAACCUACCUAUAAGACUGGGAUAACUUCGGGAAACCGGGGCUAAUACCGGAUAACAUGUUGAACCGCAUGGUUCAACAGUGAAAGACGGUCUUGCUGUCACUUAUAGAUGGAUCCGCGCCGCAUUAGCUAGUUGGUAAGGUAACGGCUUACCAAGGCAACGAUGCGUAGCCGACCUGAGAGGGUGAUCGGCCACACUGGAACUGAGACACGGUCCAGACUCCUACGGGAGGCAGCAGUAGGGAAUCUUCCGCAAUGGGCGAAAGCCUGACGGAGCAACGCCGCGUGAGUGAAGAAGGUCUUCGGAUCGUAAAACUCUGUUAUUAGGGAAGAACAAAUGUGUAAGUAACUAUGCACGUCUUGACGGUACCUAAGCAGAAAGCCACGGCUAACUACGU